UCCCUCCAGAUCCCUUUCCCAUCAGAUCUGAAUACCGGUCUUGUGGUCAAAAAAGGAGGAAAAGGAAAAUUCAAACUGGU
RNAcentral lists this small nucleolar RNA (80 nucleotides) under Anas zonorhyncha (Eastern spot-billed duck). RNAcentral's name for it is "Small nucleolar RNA SNORA61 (ENSAZOG00000009739.1)". It matches the Rfam family "Small nucleolar RNA SNORA61", at positions 1 to 81 of the family's 132-position model. Rfam says of the family: ACA61 is a member of the H/ACA class of snoRNA that guide the sites of modification of uridines to pseudouridines. The record is from Rfam by way of RNAcentral. Lineage: Eukaryota; Metazoa; Chordata; Aves; Anseriformes; Anatidae.